This 427-nucleotide ribosomal RNA is filed under the name uncultured bacterium. RNAcentral describes it as "bacterial SSU rRNA". It matches the Rfam family "Bacterial small subunit ribosomal RNA", at positions 355 to 775 of the family's 1533-position model. The record is from RNAcentral.
UGGGGAAUCUUGCGCAAUGGACGAAAGUCUGACGCAGCGACGCCGCGUGGGUGAUGAAGGCCUUCGGGUUGUAAAGCCCUGUGGGGAGAGAAGAAUAAGUCAUGGCUAAUAUCCAUGGUGAUGACGGUAUCUCCUUAGCAAGCACCGGCUAACUCUGUGCCAGCAGCCGCGGUAAGACAGAGGGUGCAAACGUUGUUCGGAAUUACUGGGCGUAAAGCGUGUGUAGGCUGCCUUGUAAGUCGGAUGUGAAAGCCCCGGGCUCAACCCGGGAAGUGCACCCGAUACUACAAGGCUGGAGUCUCGGAGAGGUUGGUGGAAUUCUCGGUGUAGAGGUGAAAUUCGUAGAUAUCGAGAGGAACACCGGUGGCGAAGGCGGCCAACUGGACGAUGACUGACGCUGAGACACGAAAGCGUGGGGAUCAAACAG